Molecule: ribosomal RNA, 995 nt
Filed under: Veillonella parvula
Lineage: Bacteria; Bacillati; Bacillota; Negativicutes; Veillonellales; Veillonellaceae
Description: bacterial SSU rRNA
Rfam family: Bacterial small subunit ribosomal RNA
Source: RNAcentral
UUUUAUGAGAGUUUGAUCCUGGCUCAGGACGAACGCUGGCGGCGUGCCUAAUACAUGCAAGUCGAACGCUUCUUUUUCCACCGGAGCUUGCUCCACCGGAAAAAGAGGAGUGGCGAACGGGUGAGUAACACGUGGGUAACCUGCCCAUCAGAAGGGGAUAACACUUGGAAACAGGUGCUAAUACCGUAUAACAAUCAAAACCGCAUGGUUUUGAUUUGAAAGGCGCUUUCGGGUGUCGCUGAUGGAUGGACCCGCGGUGCAUUAGCUAGUUGGUGAGGUAACGGCUCACCAAGGCCACGAUGCAUAGCCGACCUGAGAGGGUGAUCGGCCACAUUGGGACUGAGACACGGCCCAAACUCCUACGGGAGGCAGCAGUAGGGAAUCUUCGGCAAUGGACGAAAGUCUGACCGAGCAACGCCGCGUGAGUGAAGAAGGUUUUCGGAUCGUAAAACUCUGUUGUUAGAGAAGAACAAGGAUGAGAGUAGAACGUUCAUCCCUUGACGGUAUCUAACCAGAAAGCCACGGCUAACUACGUGCCAGCAGCCGCGGUAAUACGUAGGUGGCAAGCGUUGUCCGGAUUUAUUGGGCGUAAAGCGAGCGCAGGCGGUUUCUUAAGUCUGAUGUGAAAGCCCCCGGCUCAACCGGGGAGGGUCAUUGGAAACUGGGAGACUUGAGUGCAGAAGAGGAGAGUGGAAUUCCAUGUGUAGCGGUGAAAUGCGUAGAUAUAUGGAGGAACACCAGUGGCGAAGGCGGCUCUCUGGUCUGUAACUGACGCUGAGGCUCGAAAGCGUGGGGAGCGAACAGGAUUAGAUACCCUGGUAGUCCACGCCGUAAACGAUGAGUGCUAAGUGUUGGAGGGUUUCCGCCCUUCAGUGCUGCAGCAAACGCAUUAAGCACUCCGCCUGGGGAGUACGACCGCAAGGUUGAAACUCAAAGGAAUUGACGGGGGCCCGCACAAGCGGUGGAGCAUGUGGUUUAAUUCGAAGCAACGCGAA